Molecule: ribosomal RNA, 490 nt
Filed under: uncultured bacterium
Lineage: Bacteria
Description: partial 16S ribosomal RNA
Rfam family: Bacterial small subunit ribosomal RNA
Source: RNAcentral
GAUGAACGCUAGCGGCAGGCUUAAUACAUGCAAGUCGAGGGGCAGCACGUUUCGCACCCAUGCGGGAUGGUGGCGACCGGCAAACGGGUGAGGAUCGCGUACACAAUCUUCCCAUAGCAGGGGGAUAACCCGGGGAAACCCGGACUAAUACCCCGUAGUUUACUUUGAAGGCAUCUUUGAGGUAAUAAAACUCCGGUGGCGUUGGAUGAGUUUGCGUCCCAUUAGGUAGUUGGCAGGGUAACGGCCUACCAAGCCUUCGAUGGGUGACUGGUGUGAGAGCACGACCCGUGAGACGGGAAACGAGACACGGGCCCGACGGCUACGGGAGGGAGCAGUAAGGAAGAGUAGGCAAGGGACGCUAGUCUGAACCAGCCAUGCCGCGUGAAGGAGGAAGGUGCUCUGGAUGGUAAACUUCUUUUAUAGGGGGGGAACAAAGGGUUUUUUAACUCACUUGACGGUACCUUAUGAAUAAGCACCGGCUAACUCCGUG